Penaeus vannamei (Pacific white shrimp) is the source of this 2686-nucleotide non-coding RNA. NCBI's taxonomy places the organism in Eukaryota, Metazoa, Arthropoda, Malacostraca, Decapoda, Penaeidae. The record is from RefSeq and is a predicted model, not a curated record.
GAAGGGCAUCGAUUAGAUAUGAUUAUGUGUUCGGACUUAAUUGUCAAGCUUUGUACCCCAUUGUUAAAAUGUAGGCGGAUGGGCAAGGGUGUACCUCCGAAAUGGGUGUCGGAAGAAGAGGUUUUCUUCAGUGAUAUUGGUUUUUACGCGUGGGCAACGACCGAACCCUUAUUGUAUUGUGACCUGACGUUUCUCACGUCACCCUCACGUUCAGACAUUCCUGCUCGUGACACGGUCGUGAACAGCACACUUCUCGGACGUCCAACUUCCAGCACUCUAUUCACAAGUGACCAGCCUGCACGUGGGACACAAGAGCCUUGUAGUAAUAGUGCGGGAGGAAGAUUGUCCUAGUGGUCAGCAGCAUCAGACGUUGUUGCCAGGCGGUGCAUUUUUGAGCUCUGUUGUGCGAGCUGAAGUCGCUCCUCCAUCUCCUCUCUCACUAGUCUGAGGCAGGACCCUGUCUUGGCCUCACUCCUUUCUGCUCGUGGCAGAAAUCUCGUCGCGGAUUAUUUUGAGAAGAUUAGAAAAGAUUUACGUGUUGCUUCCCACGCGCCCUGCCUAGUGCUGGGCAUAGGGACCUGUGGUGAGACGGAAGAGUAAAUCAAAGCGAGGAAAACGAAAUAAGUGUGUGUACAAUUCUUGGAAUUGUGUGAGUGAGUAGUUCCGCUGGUGUUGGAUACACAAGGAACGGACGUGCUGUUGCUGCUGCAGCUGCAACGCUUCCUUGCAAGGCCUCUGGUGGCGGUGACAAGGAAUAGCUUUACCUUCGCAAGACCAAUGGAGAUUACUCUAUUAACCCUUAUACAAGUAGGAGUCUUGGGUAUAGUGUUUGGAAGUGUGAAAGUACUUCUCUUUGUGUGUUCAUUUAUAACCACAGGAACAUCAUGGAUGGUGCAAGUAGUCCUGUUUUUACAGGAUUUCCUCUUCCACCCAUUAUCUUUACUCCAGACAUGUCACCGAGAGAUCAUGAGUCUAGCCCUAUGGACGUGCCGGGUGCUGUGGAACACGGUGCUAGCGGCAACAAAUCUGGUGCUAGCAGCCCUGGUGUGGACUUCAAUUCCAUCAAUUCAAAGGAAGGUUCUGUGAAGGGGAAGGGGGGGGCACUGCUACACCAUUUCUUGCACCCCCUUGAUUACUACCACCAGCAUCAAGCCAAAAGGAGAAGCCGCAAUAAUUCAAUAUCUAGUGACCAUGGAGAUAUAACCCUUGAACUUGCAAAUGCUCAUGCCCAAGCACAGGCAAAUAAAGAAAAAGAAAAAUCAUUCCGCUCUAAGACACCUGACCCUCCGCGAGUGCAGAGGCAGGAGAGAGAGAGAUCCCGCACACCUGAACCAUGGCCUGUCUACAGACCCCAAGCACGACAGCGACCACGCCCAAGAAACCUAUUUAUUCCAGUGCCAAAUCAGCCCCUGUCAAAAGGUAGCCCUGUGGUCACAUCCCCAACAAAGUCAGAGGGGUCAUACUAUCAACGAAGGGGCAGCGGCGCAGAAAGCAUUCCAAGUAUAGCCAGUAGUGAGAGUGGCAGUAGCACAGGGAGCAGUGGUAGUUAUACUGGUAGUGAAAGUGAGAGUGAGAGUGAAGAAGAAAAGCCUAAAACCUGGUCAUCUGGAGUACGAACUUUAGGACAGGAGUAUAGCCAAGUCUCUUCUUCGCCUGGCAAGGAGCAGGCAUCAUCUCCCCCAGCCACCAGCCCCAGCAUACAGGCAAAAAGACCAUCCGUGAGUUUACCAAUUGACCAAAAUGCCCGGCCAAAAUCACCCAAUUUUCAUUUCCCCUUUGAGUACUUGUACAGAAGAAGCUCCCUUUCAAAGUCUUCACGCAGAGGCAGCAUUGAAUCUCCACUUGCACAGAACAGUUUUCCAGGACCUACUAGCCCCACUGAAACAAAAACUGAUUCCCUUAAGGUGCCAAAACCCCACUCUCCCUUCAACUGGUAUAGGAGAAGGUCUAUGUCGAAGUCCCCCAAUAGGCCUCCCCAUGCUCCUCUUGGGCAGACAACUAGCUCACCCACCAAGUCGCCCCAAAUGCAUCCAGCAGUUAAAAGUAGACUCAGCAUACCAACAAAUGCAGGUUGUGAUUUAGAAGGCAGUGUCUCCAAGGGUUAUUCCUUCACACAAACACAGUCUCUUUCGCACUUAAAAAGAUCCUCAGGGGAAGCACACGGAGAGAAAAAAGGUGAUUUAGAAUUAGAUAGGGAAAAUCAGGCAAAGGAUAUGGACAGCAGCUGGGAGAGUUUCUGGAACGAUGGUCCAGAUGGAAAUGCGUUGAGUUCCAAGAAAGAGAAGCCUCAGAAGGGUAUUGAAAAAUCUUCGUCGGUGGAAAAGUUAUAUCACAUAUAUGAUCAGAUUAUUAAAGAAGGUCAGAUGCGAAGACACUCCUCGGAGACGGACAAGAGGCGACAUGGCAGUGGCACACUCUCGCACACGUACAUGCGAGGCGAGAUGGAUCCCAACAGGCAGCCAUCCUGUUUCGGGAUUCUCGAGGGACAGCAAUUGACGACGAGAAGCGAACUCGAAGCGUCUUACAACAUGGCCUAAUGAACGCCAAAAUUAGUUUAAGGUCACUGAUUCUAACUGUGACCAUGUUACCUUGUUCUUUAAUAACUGCCCCAGAGUUAGUGAUAGUCAGAAGUGACUUUGACUUACUUAAGAUUGAUUUGGAGGACAAAUCUUAUUCUAGUAACUAA